UGGGGUAGGAGAUGGGGUUGGGAUUACAGAAUUCGGGGGAGUGGCAGGAGCUGGAGUCGUGAAACUGUGAGGUUCAGGGCUCACCGAAGGUGGACGUGAAGAAGGUGGCGGCGGUUGUGAUGGCGAUGAUGCAGUGAUGUUUGGAUGUGGUGGCGGUGCUAUGGAAGGAGGCGGCGAUGUGGAUGGCAAUGGUGAAGGUGGAGGCAAGGGAGUCGGAGCGCUUGCAGAUUUGGAUACCAUUAUAGCGAGCUUCUGGUUGAAGUUGCAGUGUGUGCCCACGCCUUCGGCUCCUUUGUCACAUGAGAAAUAGUACACGCCUGGCUGCGUCGCUUUCCACUGCAUUUGCUUUGCCAAAGACAGAUUCAUAAACAUCGAGCAUAACCUAGAAUCCUAUGCAUGGUCUGUGCAUAUGAAAGUUACUGAAUCAAGGUGGGGUAAUAAUUCGCAAAUGCACCAUGGGUUGCACACUUGGGAGAAUCAAAACCUACUUACCGA
This 495-nucleotide long non-coding RNA is filed under the name Physcomitrium patens. RNAcentral's name for it is "long non-coding RNA (PPAT_LNC009052)". Lineage: Eukaryota; Viridiplantae; Streptophyta; Bryopsida; Funariales; Funariaceae. The record is from RNAcentral.